Malania oleifera is the source of this 1962-nucleotide RNA transcript. It is a transcript of the gene named inositol polyphosphate multikinase beta-like, with no coding region annotated. Lineage: Eukaryota; Viridiplantae; Streptophyta; Magnoliopsida; Santalales; Ximeniaceae. The transcript has 3 exons. The record is from RefSeq and is a predicted model, not a curated record.
AAUAAGGUCGUCCGGACCGUGAACGGAUUCGCCUCCGGCCUCUGGGCACGUCGGAACCGCAUGAGUUCACCGGGGUGGAAGGGGGACCGACAACUAUUCUCUACGAAUCAAAAUAAAAGGGACUUCAGUGGAAAACGGACCGGCACAUAUUCCAGAUUUUCAACCUCAUUAUCACGCCAUGGUAUGCGCACUUUGUCCUCCCCGUCAUUCAUUCUCCGCUCCUAUAUCAAAUCCUAAACUCAAUAUGAGACCCUGCGCACCCCCGGCCGCUUACCUGUAAUUGCGGCGACAUCUCCCUUUUGGCGACGACUUCACUGCCACCGGCCUCUAGGAAAAUGGUAUGAAAUCGCGGGUAACUUAAAACAUUAGGAGAUUUCCAGGGUUGCUAUUAACCUAUUAUUGAGGAAGAAGGUAAAUCUGCAAGUUUCAUUGGUCAUUCAUCAAAUGACAAUGUUACAACUCGCAGUUAGUUAUUGGCUCAUUGGAUCAACAAAGUACUAAUUUGUAUGAGAGGUGAAAUGAAGUUGCUUGUUGUUGAAUUAAGCUAUUUUGAGGGCUUCAUAAAGAUAAAUCUUUGAAAAUAUUAAAUGGAACAAUAAAGGCUCAUUUGCUUCAUUGUUCAAGUGAGUUUUGUUUCUGGCUCAAGGUUAGAGGAAGAAACACUAUCUUUUCUUUGAGGUUCAUAGUCUCUUGACAAUGCUGAAGGUUCCAGACCAUCAAGUUGCCGGCCACCAAGCCUGUGAUGGAAAGCUUGGACCCCUUGUGGAUGAUUCGGGACGCUUCUGUAAGCCCCUCCAAAGUGACGAACGUGGAUCUAAAGAGGUGGCAUUUUAUACAUCUUUUUCUUCAAAUGUUCAUAUUCCCGAAGCAAUCCGCAGAUUUUUUCCCAUCUUUUAUGGCACUCAGAUUCUGGAGGCAUCUGAUGGAUCUGGUCCGCAUCCUCACUUGGUUCUGCAAGAUCUUGUCUCAAAUCGCAUCCAUCCAUCAGUUAUGGAUAUUAAGAUUGGAUCCAGAACAUGGUACCCGCAAGCAUCUGAAGAUUACAUGCAUAAAUGCCUUCAAAAAGACAGAGAAACCACUAGCUUGCCAUUAGGUUUUAGGAUUUCUGGGUUGCAGGUUUAUGGGAGCAAAGAAUCAGGAUUUUGGAAGCCUGGAAAGGAGCUUAUCAAGAACUUUACUGCAGAUGAUGUUAGGUUAGUUUUGAGGAAAUUUGUUUCUUCUUACUUGUCUAGUGAUUCUGGUUCAGAUCCAGAUUGUUCUCUGGCAUCGACUGUUUAUGGUGGUUCCUCAGGGAUUUUGGCACAGUUACUAGAACUCAAGGCAUGGUUUGAGGAUCAGACUAUUUUCCAUUUCUACUCAUGCUCAGUUCUUAUGUUGUAUGAAAAGGAGGCAGUGUUGAAAGGAAGGAGUUCAGGUGCUGAAGUGAAGCUUAUUGAUUUUGCACAUGUUGUGGAAGGUGAAGGGGUAAUUGAUCACAACUUCUUGGGUGGACUUUGCUCUUUAAUAAAGUUUAUCUCAGAGAUACUUACUGGCAUUAAUUAAUCAUAGCUUCUUGGGAUGGACUUUGCUAUUUCGUGAAGUUUGUCUCAGAGAUACUUAUCACUCGGAAUGUCUUUGAACUCUCAGAAUCUGUGCUGAGGCCCUGUGGAUCAACUUAGAGUUGAUUUGAGGUUUGGGUAACAGUGGCAGCUGUACAGAGUACCAGAAUUCUUUUCCUACCUGCAGCUGGCUCGAGAUGUUUACAUUUAGCAAUUUGUUUUUUGCUCAUCUGUAGCUCCAGUUUAUGAAAAACUAGAACUCAAAUAUUUUUUGUUUAUAAACUGAUAAAUGCCAUCUUGACAAAAAGAGAUGCCUGUAGUUAUUUAAUUUUGUUUUAUAGCUGAAUUAAGGAUUUGUAAUUCGUAAAAAGCUGUAAUUCCUUGCUCUUUAAAAGCUGCCUUUUCAGGACAUGAGGAAAACAAA